GACGAACGCUGGCGGCGUGCCUAAUACAUGCAAGUUGAGCGCUGAAGGUUGGUACUUGUACCAACUGGAUGAGCAGCGAACGGGUGAGUAACGCGUGGGGAAUCUGCCUUUGAGCGGGGGACAACAUUUGCAAACGAAUGCUAAUACCGCAUAAAAACUUUAAACACAAGUUUUAAGUUUGAAAGAUGCAAUUGCAUCACUCAAAGAUGAUCCCGCGUUGUAUUAGCUAGUUGGUGAGGUAAAGGCUCACCAAGGCGAUGAUACAUAGCCGACCUGAGAGGGUGAUCGGCCACAUUGGGACUGAGACACGGCCCAAACUCCUACGGGAGGCAGCAGUAGGGAAUCUUCGGCAAUGGACGAAAGUCUGACCGAGCAACGCCGCGUGAGUGAAGAAGGUUUUCGGAUCGUAAAACUCUGUUGGUAGAGAAGAACGUUGGUGAGAGUGGAAAGCUCAUCAAGUGACGGUAACUACCCAGAAAGGGACGGCUAACUACGUG
Molecule: ribosomal RNA, 497 nt
Filed under: uncultured bacterium
Lineage: Bacteria
Description: partial 16S ribosomal RNA
Rfam family: Bacterial small subunit ribosomal RNA
Source: RNAcentral